Molecule: long non-coding RNA, 566 nt
Organism: Zingiber officinale
Lineage: Eukaryota; Viridiplantae; Streptophyta; Magnoliopsida; Zingiberales; Zingiberaceae
Exons: 5
Source: RefSeq, a predicted model, not a curated record
UGGGUACUUACACUGAACCGCCUCAGACCUCCAGAAAGAAUGGUGAAACGAAAAAUGAUUAAUAAGAAGAAUUUGAGUGGAACUUUGAUUACUCCACUAUCGGUUUUGGAUUCUUUAUAGGGCCAAGCAAGAUGGACCAGUAGUCUUGGGUUGGCGUCAUCCUUGGGAAGGGCAUGGAGAUCACUCACAUGAUCAUGUGCCUGAAGACAAGGUGUAGAUGUUAGAACAUCCAAGAUAUGCGAACUUGGAAUAUUGAAUUAUAGAGCUAAGCGAGUGCUUUGGAUUGCCCUCCGCCAGCUUGAAGUAAUUGAGACCCACAGUGGAUAUGGUUCUCAUCACACAUCUUUCCUGUAAUGAAUUAAGAUUGUCUGCUACAUUUUUGACCUGGCUCUGAUCCAUUAGAUCUGUGUAACUAUGCUGUAAGAUUUCACAGUAGAACGAGAGACAUGUGAGAAGGCUUCAAGUUACAAAGGACACAAACCUUCCGAUUCUGCACCAGUGAUUUAGAGAACAUAGGAAAUUCACAUCCAAAUGGAAGAAAAUUUGAAAAGGGAAGCAAAAUAAAC